GGCGGUCUCUGAUCCCGGUUGGGCUUGAGAUGCCCAACAUGACUAGGCCCUUGUUUGGUUUGUGUUACUCUCUCCUAUCACAAUCUCAUAAAUACUACUCCAUAGAUAGUGUUCGAUAUAAAUCUUAAACUGAUUAUCAAGGCUCUAUAGAAUAUCUCCAACAAGCUUGGCCCUAAAAUUCGAUGGUUGGGAACCAUGCUAAGCUUCUUCUAGAACUUGAACCAUGCCUCGUACAUAGAUUAUGACUACAGCUGCCUAAAAUUAUAGAUCUCAUUCUUGAGCUACAACACCCUAGAUAAAGGAAAGAAAUAGUUCAAGAAUUGCUUGCACAACUCAUCGCACAUCGUGAUAGAUGCUGUUGGAAGUUCUUCUAGCCAUAAUGAAGCUUCUCUAGUAAACGAGAAGAGGAACAAGGACAUAAAUAUCCAGAUCACCAAUGUUCGAGGUGUAAUGGAGAAGAUAAUAUUAUUCCAGAGGUACAUCUAGAAUAAAAAUCAAGAAGACAAAAUGCCAGCUGGAAAGAUAAAAUAAGGAGCAAUAAUGGAGCAGAUACGACAAAAUCA
This 563-nucleotide long non-coding RNA is filed under the name Capsicum annuum. Its description in RNAcentral is "long non-coding RNA (CANN_LNC015539)". The record is from RNAcentral. Lineage: Eukaryota; Viridiplantae; Streptophyta; Magnoliopsida; Solanales; Solanaceae.